AUUGAACGCUGGCGGCAGGCCUAACACAUGCAAGUCGAGCGGAAACGACUUAACUGAACCUUCGGGGAACGUUAAGGGCGUCGAGCGGCGGACGGGUGAGUAAUGCCUGGGAAUAUGCCUCGAUGUGGGGGAUAACUAUUGGAAACGAUAGCUAAUACCGCAUAAUGCCUUCGGGCCAAAGAGGGGGACCUUAGGGCCUCUCGCGUCAAGAUUAGCCCAGGUGGGAUUAGCUAGUUGGUGAGGUAAAGGCUCACCAAGGCGACGAUCCCUAGCUGGUCUGAGAGGAUGAUCAGCCACACUGGAACUGAGACACGGUCCAGACUCCUACGGGAGGCAGCAGUGGGGAAUAUUGCACAAUGGGCGCAAGCCUGAUGCAGCCAUGCCGCGUGUGUGAAGAAGGCCUUCGGGUUGUUAAAGGGACUUUCAGUCGUGAGGAAGGUAGUGUAGUUAAUAGCUGC
This 458-nucleotide ribosomal RNA is filed under the name uncultured bacterium. RNAcentral describes it as "bacterial SSU rRNA". It matches the Rfam family "Bacterial small subunit ribosomal RNA", at positions 30 to 469 of the family's 1533-position model. The record is from RNAcentral.